UCUCGCAGCUCCGUUGGUUAGAGCGCUGUAUCGGAAUCGCAGGGUCGCAGGUUCGAUUCCUGCAGAG
Non-coding RNA from Paramuricea clavata, 67 nucleotides. The record is from the annotation of a GenBank genome assembly. Lineage: Eukaryota; Metazoa; Cnidaria; Anthozoa; Malacalcyonacea; Plexauridae.